UUAGUAAGCUAUGAAAAAGUUUGAGAACCACUGCUCUAAAGCCUUUGAUCGUGUAAAUCAUGAGAAGCUAUUCCUCAAAUUGCACAACAGAAGGGUUCCCAAAUAUCUAGUGAGAAUCUUGGCUUUCUGGUAUGAUCACUAGUCAAUCUAUGUGAAAUGGGGUAACUCUACGUCUGCUCCAUUCAAUGUAAACAAUGGAGUUAGACAGGGAAGCAUUUUAUCUCCAUUUCUUUUUAAUAUUUAUAUGGAUGAUCUAUCAAAACUGCUAAACAAGUGUGGAACAGGCUGUAUGGUUGGGGACACCAUUAUCAACCACCUGAUGUACGCAGAUGAUCUGGUGAUUCUGUCCAGAUAGUGCUGGCCUUCAACAGCUACUAAGGCUCUGCUCCCAAUAUGGCUAUGAUAGUUAGAAGCAGGGAGGACAAUAAGCUGUCAUUUCUUUCUUUCUCUCUGUCUGGUACUGUCCUUAAAGUGUGUGGGAUGAGGUCAAAUACUUAGGACCCUAUAUUCUGAUGAUAUGGACAUUCAUAGACAGUACUGUAUGAUGUAUGCACUAGCUAAUAUGCUGAAUCGCAAAUUUAGUAGGUGUUCAUUGUCUGUAGGGCUUUGACUUUUGCCCAAAAAUCAUAAUCAAAGUUUAUUUGUUUAAUAUUUGAAUAUAUUCUAAUAUUUAUUAAUAAUAUUGUGACCAUUAAAUGCCUUCAGUAAGACCAAUUUUAGUAUAAGACUUAAGUUGUAUAUGUUCUGUCCACCAGAGGGCAGCGUAUCAGUCAAUAGACAGACAGGGAGUCUCCAGAGCGAGUAGUGACUCUAGAGUCCUAGUGAGAGAAACCAAAUGAUGAGUCAUGUCAACACGUAUCUCAGUGAGGAGCUUCUUCAUGUGUUGACCUCGUGGUAAUAAAGUCCUCUGAUAUCUCUGAUCAUUAACAUCCCUUCUGCUGUGUUACACCUGAUGGAGGUCUUUAGAGGUACCAUGACUUUUAUUGUUUGUUAUUGUUUUUCAGACCUGAUGGUGGUAACAGUGGACCCUGGAGAUGAUGUCAUUCUACCAUGUCAGGCUAAUGAUUCCUCCAUCAGAGCUGUAGAGUGGACCAGACCUGACCUGGAGCACCCAGAGUAUGUCCUCUUUUACAGUGAUAGACACCUGGAUCCAACCUGCCAGCAUCCAUCAUUUAACCCUCGUGUUGUCCUGGGGUUAUUCUGACCCCAAAUGAAAUCUUUUGCCGUCAAAAUGUUUUUUAUUCAUCGAAUGGUCUGAAAAUAAUGUCAAACCAGGCGGGGUCCUCUUGACCCCAGAGGACAACAGGUGUAAGACAUCCAGGAGGACAUUAGGAGAGUUAAGGACAGGGUGGAGCUGGUGGACAGAGAUCUGAAGGACGGAAACGUGUCUCUAAUUCUGAAGAAUGUGAGCAUCAACGACAGAGGAACAUAUGAGUGUCGAGUUGCACCAGGUGGUUCAAGACGUAGAAAGAGAGCCAACAUCGACUCUGAGCCAAUCAGAAUCAUCCGUCUGCAGGUUAGAGACCCAGCAGGUUCAAACAGAGGACACUCCGAGGAUAGAAACUCCUCUCCUGUAGUCCUCAUCGUUGGACUGGCAGCAGGUGUUCUGGUUCCUGUAGCUGCUGCAGUGGCUGGUGUCCUGAUGUAUAGAAGACGUAAGAACAAGAGAUCAGGACAACCUGCUGCUGCUGCUGCUGCUGCUGCUGAUGAUGAUGAUGCUGCUGAAGCCAUGGCUCUGACGUCCUCUGGGGUCUCCCAUGACGAGAUGGUCCCAGAGAGACAGAUUUGCUUUGAAUGAACUUUAUCUUUAGAGAAAUAGAAUAUUUACUCAAGUAAAAGUACUGUUGCUAGGGGCGACCUCUAGCUCCCCCAGUAGAGC
Long non-coding RNA from Perca flavescens (yellow perch), 1879 nucleotides. RefSeq lists it as uncharacterized. The transcript is spliced from 3 exons. Lineage: Eukaryota; Metazoa; Chordata; Actinopteri; Perciformes; Percidae. The record is from RefSeq and is a predicted model, not a curated record.